AACGUGUUCUUUUUGUGCAAUUUUAUUCUUUGGUUUUUGUAGUGUUUGUAAGUGUCUAAGGGCGCAUGGUGGAUGCCUUGGCAUCGAGAGCCGAUGAAGGACGUGGGAGGCUGCGAUAAGC
This 121-nucleotide ribosomal RNA is filed under the name Mycobacterium gordonae. RNAcentral describes it as "partial 23S ribosomal RNA". The stretch from base 46 to 121 matches the Rfam family "Bacterial large subunit ribosomal RNA", at positions 1 to 76 of the family's 2925-position model. The record is from RNAcentral. Lineage: Bacteria; Bacillati; Actinomycetota; Actinomycetes; Mycobacteriales; Mycobacteriaceae.